GCAUGGUAACUUGGUUGGUAGAGCAUGCGACUCGUAACCUCAGGGUCAUGGGUUCGAGCCCCAUGUUGGGCA
This is a non-coding RNA of Podarcis lilfordi (Lilford's wall lizard), 72 nucleotides long. Lineage: Eukaryota; Metazoa; Chordata; Lepidosauria; Squamata; Lacertidae. The record is from the annotation of a GenBank genome assembly.